UCCAAUCCAGUUCUAUGACUCUGAGUCCUCCAUUACCCUGCAGCCUAAGACCGGUUACUCACUGAAGCUAAGCAGGGCUGAGCCUGGUCAGUACCUGGAAGGGAGACCACUUGGGAACAUUAGGUUGCUGUUGGCA
Ribosomal RNA from Danio rerio (zebrafish), 136 nucleotides. The record is from Ensembl. Lineage: Eukaryota; Metazoa; Chordata; Actinopteri; Cypriniformes; Danionidae.